This 547-nucleotide ribosomal RNA is filed under the name uncultured bacterium. RNAcentral describes it as "bacterial SSU rRNA". It matches the Rfam family "Bacterial small subunit ribosomal RNA", at positions 9 to 532 of the family's 1533-position model. The record is from RNAcentral.
GAGUUUGAUCAUGGCUCAGAACAAACGCUGGCGGCGUGCCUAACACAUGCAAGUCGUACGAGAAAGUCCGCUUCGGUGGAUAAGUAAAGUGGCGCACGGGUGAGUAACGCGUGGAUAAUCUACCCUUAAGUUUGGAAUAACUCAUCGAAAGGUGGGCUAAUACCGAAUGAUACUGCACAACUACUGUUGUACAGUCAAAGAAGGCCUCUGUUUACAAGCUUUCGCUGAAGGAUGAGUCCGCGUACCAUUAGCUAGUUGGUAGGGUAAUAGCCUACCAAGGCGACGAUGGUUAGCUGGUCUGAGAGGAUGAUCAGCCACACUGGAACUGAGACACGGUCCAGACUCCUACGGGAGGCAGCAGUGAGGAAUAUUGCGCAAUGGGGGCAACCCUGACGCAGCAACGCCGCGUGAGUGAGGAAGGUUUUCGGAUCGUAAAGCUCUGUCGAGUGGGAAGAAAUGUAUGAUGGCUAAUAUCCAUCAUGCUUGACGGUACCGCUAAAGGAAGCACCGGCUAACUCCGUGCCGGCAGCCGCGGUAAUACGGGGGG